This 253-nucleotide ribosomal RNA is filed under the name uncultured bacterium. Its description in RNAcentral is "partial 16S ribosomal RNA". It matches the Rfam family "Bacterial small subunit ribosomal RNA", at positions 524 to 776 of the family's 1533-position model. The record is from RNAcentral.
UACGUAGGGUGCAAGCGUUGUCCGGAAUUAUUGGGCGUAAAGAGCUCGUAGGCGGUUUGUCGCGUCGGCUGUGAAAACCCGGGGCUCAACCCCGGGCCUGCAGUCGAUACGGGCAGACUAGAGUGCGGUAGGGGAGACUGGAAUUCCUGGUGUAGCGGUGAAAUGCGCAGAUAUCAGGAGGAACACCGGUGGCGAAGGCGGGUCUCUGGGCCGUAACUGACGCUGAGGAGCGAAAGCGUGGGGAGCGAACAGG